CAGUGGAUGACGGUGUAUCCUCUAACGAGAGUUGUAUCCCACUAUCUGUAAGCGUCACCCGUGGCUAAGUGAUGUCAUGAUUGUAGAUAUCUGUUAGGGCCACUAUAGUUGGUACGAUUGUGGUCAUAGAUCGUACCGUAGUUUGGCCAGCCGAAAAUAGGUUCGUGCAAAUUGUCGUAUUUAUAUAUGAUAUGGUCAUUCCAUUUGGGUAAUUGAAAAUCUGUAUCUGCC
This 231-nucleotide long non-coding RNA is filed under the name Carica papaya (papaya). Its description in RNAcentral is "long non-coding RNA (CPAP_LNC004338)". Lineage: Eukaryota; Viridiplantae; Streptophyta; Magnoliopsida; Brassicales; Caricaceae. The record is from RNAcentral.